Molecule: ribosomal RNA, 497 nt
Filed under: uncultured bacterium
Lineage: Bacteria
Description: partial 16S ribosomal RNA
Rfam family: Bacterial small subunit ribosomal RNA
Source: RNAcentral
GAUGAACGCUGGCGGCGUGCCUAAUACAUGCAAGUCGAGCGAACGGACGAGAAGCUUGCUUCUCUGAUGUUAGCGGCGGACGGGUGAGUAACACGUGGAUAACCUACCUAUAAGACUGGGAUAACUUCGGGAAACCGGAGCUAAUACCGGAUAAUAUUUUGAACCGCAUGGUUCAAAAGUGAAAGACGGUUUUGCUGUCACUUAUAGAUGGAUCCGCGCUGCAUUAGCUAGUUGGUAAGGUAACGGCUUACCAAGGCAACGAUGCAUAGCCGACCUGAGAGGGUGAUCGGCCACACUGGAACUGAGACACGGUCCAGACUCCUACGGGAGGCAGCAGUAGGGAAUCUUCCGCAAUGGGCGAAAGCCUGACGGAGCAACGCCGCGUGAGUGAUGAAGGUCUUCGGAUCGUAAAACUCUGUUAUUAGGGAAGAACAUAUGUGGAAGUAACUGUGCACAUCUUGACGGUACCUAAUCAGAAAGCCACGGCUAACUACGUG